This 404-nucleotide ribosomal RNA is filed under the name uncultured bacterium. RNAcentral describes it as "bacterial SSU rRNA". It matches the Rfam family "Bacterial small subunit ribosomal RNA", at positions 355 to 776 of the family's 1533-position model. The record is from RNAcentral. RNAcentral also lists the same sequence under 1 other name.
UGGGGAAUAUUGGACAAUGGGCGCAAGCCUGAUCCAGCCAUGCCGCGUGAGUGACGAAGGCCUUAGGGUUGUAAAGCUCUUUUGGCGGGGAAGAUAAUGACGGUACCCGCAGAAUAAGCUCCGGCUAACUUCGUGCCAGCAGCCGCGGUAAUACGAAGGGAGCUAGCGUUGUUCGGAAUCACUGGGCGUAAAGCGCACGUAGGCGGAUGUGUCAGUCAGGGGUGAAAUCCCGGAGCUCAACUUCGGAACUGCCCUUGAUACAGCACGUCUUGAGUCCGAGAGAGGUGAGUGGAAUUCCUAGUGUAGAGGUGAAAUUCGUAGAUAUUAGGAAGAACACCGGUGGCGAAGGCGGCUCACUGGCUCGGUACUGACGCUGAGGUGCGAAAGCGUGGGGAGCAAACAGG